CUCGUAGGCGGUCGCAUACGGCGGUGGUGAAAGCUCCCGGCUUAACUGGGAGAGGCCCGCCGCAACGGUGCGACUCGAGGGUGGUAGAGGCAGAUGGAAUUCCUGGUGUAGCGGUGAAAUGCGUAGAGAUCAGGAGGAACACCCGUGGCGAAGGCGGUCUGCUGGGCCACACCUGACGCUGAGGAGCGAAAGCCAGGGGAGCGAACGGGAUUAGAUACCCCGGUAGUCCUGGCCGUAAACGAUGGAUACUAGGUGUCAGCGGUAUCGACCCCGCUGGUGCCGCAGCUAACGCGUUAAGUAUCCCGCCUGGGGAGUACGGCCGCAAGGUUGAA
This 332-nucleotide ribosomal RNA is filed under the name uncultured bacterium. Its description in RNAcentral is "bacterial SSU rRNA". It matches the Rfam family "Bacterial small subunit ribosomal RNA", at positions 568 to 898 of the family's 1533-position model. The record is from RNAcentral.